CGCACAUUGCGCCCUCUAGUAUUCUAGGGGGCAUGCCUGUUCGAGCGUCAUUUCAAACCCUCAAGCCCAGCUGCUUGGUGUUAGGGACCGCUGUAAAAAGCGCCCCGUAAAGAAAUUGGCGGAGUUAGCCACGACUCUCAGCGUAGUACUUUAUCUCGCUCUAGGGGACUGGCGGCGCCUGCCACAAGCCUAUUUCACACCGUUUGACCUCGGAUCAGGUAGGAAUACCCGCUGAACUUAA
RNAcentral lists this unclassified non-coding RNA (241 nucleotides) under Xylariaceae sp. RNAcentral's name for it is "partial contains 5.8S ribosomal RNA, internal transcribed spacer 2, and large subunit ribosomal RNA". Lineage: Eukaryota; Fungi; Ascomycota; Sordariomycetes; Xylariales; Xylariaceae. The record is from RNAcentral.